UCGUAGGUACCCGGCGGC
RNAcentral lists this small RNA (18 nucleotides) under Bombyx mori (domestic silkworm). Its description in RNAcentral is "ovarian small RNA-29162". Lineage: Eukaryota; Metazoa; Arthropoda; Insecta; Lepidoptera; Bombycidae. The record is from RNAcentral.